UGGCGGCGUGCUUAACACAUGCAAGUCGAACGGUGAAGCAGAGCUUGCUCUGUGGAUCAGUGGCGAACGGGUGAGUAACACGUGAGCAACCUGCCCCUGACUCUGGGAUAAGCGCUGGAAACGGCGUCUAAUACUGGAUAUGAGCUGCGAUCGCAUGGUCAGCAGUUGGAAAGAUUUUUCGGUCUGGGAUGGGCUCACGGCCUAUCAGCUUGUUGGUGAGGUAAUGGCUCACCAAGGCGUCGACGGGUAGCCGGCCUGAGAGGGUGACCGGCCACACUGGGACUGAGACACGGCCCAGACUCCUACGGGAGGCAGCAGUGGGGAAUAUUGCACAAUGGGCGAAAGCCUGAUGCAGCAACGCCGCGUGAGGGAUGACGGCCUUCGGGUUGUAAACCUCUUUUAGCAGGGAAGAAGCGAAAGUGACGGUACCUGCAGAAAAAGCGCCGGCUAACUACGUGCCAGCAGCCGCGGUAAUACGUAGGGCG
RNAcentral lists this ribosomal RNA (485 nucleotides) under marine sediment bacterium ISA-1279. RNAcentral's name for it is "bacterial SSU rRNA". It matches the Rfam family "Bacterial small subunit ribosomal RNA", at positions 37 to 534 of the family's 1533-position model. The record is from RNAcentral.